GAUGAACGCUGGCGGCGUGCCUAAUACAUGCAAGUCGAGCGAACAGACGAGGAUCUUGCUCCUCUGACGUUAGCGGCGGACGGGUGAGUAACACGUGGAUAACCUCCCUAUAAGACUGGGAUAACUUCGGGAAACCGGAGCUAAUACCGGAUAAUAUAUUGAACCGCAUGGUUCAAUAGUGAAAGACGGUUUUGCUGUCACUACUAGAUGGUUCCGCGCCGCAUUAGCUAGUUGGUAAGGUAACGGCUUACCACGGCAACCAUGCGUAGCCGAACUGAGAGGGUGAUCGGCCACACUGGAACUGAGACACGGUCCAGACUCCUACGGGAGGCAGCAGUAGGGAAUCUUCCGCAAUGGGCGAAAGCCUGACGGAGCAACGCCGCGUGAGUGAUGAAGGUCUUCGGAUCGUAAAACUCUGUUAUUAGGGAAGAACAAAUGUGUAAGUAACUAUGCACGUCUUGACGGUACCUAAUCAGAAAGCCACGGCUAACUACGUG
RNAcentral lists this ribosomal RNA (497 nucleotides) under uncultured bacterium. RNAcentral describes it as "partial 16S ribosomal RNA". It matches the Rfam family "Bacterial small subunit ribosomal RNA", at positions 28 to 507 of the family's 1533-position model. The record is from RNAcentral.